GAUGAACGCUGGCGGCGUGCCUAAUACAUGCAAGUCGAGCGAAGCGGGGGCGGGUGAGUAACACGUGGAUAACCUCCCAUAAGGCUGGGAUAACUUCGGGGAACCGGAGCUAAACCGGAUAAUUAUAGCUGGAUCCGAGCGGCAUUAGCUAGUUGGUAAGGUAACGGCUUACCAAGGCAACGAUGCGUAGCCGACCUGAGAGGGUGAUCGGCCACACUGGAACUGAGACACGGUCCAGACUCCUACGGGAGGCAGCAGUAGGGAAUCUUCCGCAAUGGGCGAAAGCCUGACGGAGCAACGCCGCGUGUGUGAUGAAGGUCUUCGGGUCGUAAAGCUCUGUUGUAAGGGAGGCGGUAUCUUACCAGAAAGCAACGGCUAACUACGUGCCAGCAGCCGCGGUAAUUC
RNAcentral lists this ribosomal RNA (405 nucleotides) under uncultured bacterium. RNAcentral describes it as "partial 16S ribosomal RNA". It matches the Rfam family "Bacterial small subunit ribosomal RNA", at positions 28 to 526 of the family's 1533-position model. The record is from RNAcentral.